This 460-nucleotide ribosomal RNA is filed under the name uncultured bacterium. RNAcentral's name for it is "partial 16S ribosomal RNA". It matches the Rfam family "Bacterial small subunit ribosomal RNA", at positions 338 to 795 of the family's 1533-position model. The record is from RNAcentral.
CCUACGGGAGGCAGCAGUGAGGAAUAUUGGUCAAUGGACGAGAGUCUGAACCAGCCAAGUCGCGUGAAGGAUGACUGCCCUAUGGGUUGUAAACUUCUUUUAUAUGGGAGUAAAAUGUUCCACGUGUGGGAUUUUGUAUGUACCAUAUGAAUAAGGCUCGGCUAACUCCGUGCCAGCAGCCGCGGUAAUACGGAGGAUCCGAGCGUUAUCCGGAUUUAUUGGGUUUAAAGGGAGCGUAGGUGGAUUGUUAAGUCAGUUGUGAAAGUGUGCGGCUCAACCGUAAAAUUGCAGUUGAAACUGGCAGUCUUGAGUACAGUAGAGGUGGGCGGAAUUCGUGGUGUAGCGGUGAAAUGCUUAGAUAUCACGAAGAACUCCGAUUGCGAAGGCAGCUCACUGGACUGCAACUGACACUGAGGCUCGAAAGUGUGGGGAUCAAACAGGAUUAGAUACCCCUGUAGUC